UACGGGGGAUGCAAGCGUUAUCCGGAAUCAUUGGGCGUAAAGCGCCUGUAGGUUGUUUAAUAAGUCUGUUGUUAAAGACUAGGGCUCAACCCUAGAAAAGCAAUGGAAACUACUAGACUAGAGUAUGGCAGGGGUAGAGGGAAUUUCUAGUGUAGCGGUGAAAUGCGUAGAUAUUAGAAAGAACACCGGUGGCGAAAGCGCUCUACUGGACCAUUACUGACACUCAGAGGCGAAAGCUAGGGUAGCAAAAGGGAUUAGAUACCCCUGUAGUCCUAGCCGUAAACGAUGGAUACUAGAUGUUGUGCGUAGUGUACAGUGUCCUAGCUAACGCGUUAAGUAUCCCGCCUGGGGAGUACGCUCGCAAGGGUG
RNAcentral lists this ribosomal RNA (369 nucleotides) under uncultured phototrophic eukaryote. RNAcentral's name for it is "SSU rRNA". It matches the Rfam family "Bacterial small subunit ribosomal RNA", at positions 524 to 896 of the family's 1533-position model. The record is from RNAcentral.